This 252-nucleotide ribosomal RNA is filed under the name uncultured bacterium. RNAcentral describes it as "partial 16S ribosomal RNA". It matches the Rfam family "Bacterial small subunit ribosomal RNA", at positions 524 to 776 of the family's 1533-position model. The record is from RNAcentral.
UACGUAGGGGGCUGGCGUUAUCCGGAAUUACUGGGCGUAAAGGGUGCGUAGGUGGUUUCUUAAGUCAGAGGUGAAAGGCUACGGCUCAACCGUAGUAAGCCUUUGAAACUGGGGAACUUGAGUGCAGGAGAGGAGAGUGGAAUUCCUAGUGUAGCGGUGAAAUGCGUAGAUAUUAGGAGGAACACCAGUUGCGAAGGCGGCUCUCUGGACUGUAACUGACACUGAGGCACGAAAGCGUGGGGAGCAAACAGG